Molecule: small RNA, 578 nt
Filed under: Pongo abelii (Sumatran orangutan)
Lineage: Eukaryota; Metazoa; Chordata; Mammalia; Primates; Hominidae
Description: retained intron
Source: RNAcentral
GAAUGGCCCCAACGACGUGGUUUUCAGUGUCACCACGCAGUACCAAGGCACGUGCCGCUGUGAGGGCACCAUCUAUCUGUGGAACUGGGAUGAUAAGGUCAUCAUUUCUGAUAUUGACGGGACGAUCACCAGAUCAGAUACUCUUGGCCACAUUUUGCCCACCCUUGGGAAGGAUUGGACCCACCAGGGCAUUGCUAAGCUGUACCAUAAAGUGAGCCAGUGAGUACAGAAUUCCUGUUUCCCGCCUCCCACGAACACUGGUGUGUGCAUCGCACUCUGCGUAUGGAAUCUUUCCUGGCCCAGCAUGGGGUGACUUGCAGAGAGGGCUGCACCUCAACCAGAGGGGGGCAGUGGGGGUCAGGGGUGGCAGUGGAGUCCAGAGUGAAAGUGAAUUCCAGCAACUCCAAAUUUGAAUUCAAUACCAAGAAACCAGGAGCGAAGUAUAGGGGAAUUGAUUACUAGGAGAACACAGAUGGUGGCAGUGUUAGGGGUUAGAUUGAAGUUUAGUUCAUCCCGAGGGAUGGCAGAGGUAGCCAGAUGAAGAAAUAGGAGCUUAAAUGUUAUAUAUGCCAAGUGAU